AACGAACGCUGGCGGCAUGCCUAACACAUGCAAGUCGAACGAAGGCUUCGGCCUUAGUGGCGCACGGGUGCGUAACGCGUGGGAAUCUGCCCUUAGGUUCGGAAUAACAGCUGGAAACGGCUGCUAAUACCGGAUGAUAUCGCGAGAUCAAAGAUUUAUCGCCUGAGGAUGAGCCUAAGUCGGAUUAGCUAGUUGGUGGGGUAAAGGCCUACCAAGGCGACGAUCUGUAGCGGGUCUGAGAGGAUGACCCGCCACACUGGGACUGAGACACGGCCCAGACUCCUACGGGAGGCAGCAGUGGGGAAUAUUGGACAAUGGGCGCAAGCCUGAUCCAGCAAUGCCGCGUGAGUGAUGAAGGCCCUAGGGUUGUAAAGCUCUUUUACCCGGGAAGAUAAUGACUGUACCGGGAGAAUAAGCCCCGGCUAACUCCGUGCCAGCAGCCGCAGUAA
RNAcentral lists this ribosomal RNA (449 nucleotides) under uncultured bacterium. RNAcentral describes it as "partial 16S ribosomal RNA". It matches the Rfam family "Bacterial small subunit ribosomal RNA", at positions 29 to 523 of the family's 1533-position model. The record is from RNAcentral.